AGAGAAUUGAUAAAGACUGAAUUCUGAUCAGCAUAUGGAGGGAAAGCUCCCAUAUAGAGGAAAAACAUUUUUAAAUGUUGGGGUAAGUAGUCAUAACUUGGGAAAAGUACCUCUGAUAUUUGAUUAUAUGCAUCCUCAAAAAGUGAGUUGUGUUGUUUGCAGGCUACCUCAGUCCAGUAUUCUGGGGUCUUGUCGGCUUUUGAUAGGAGCUCUGCAACCGUGACUGUCAUAAGAGGAAGGCCUUCACAUUUCUUUGCAAUCUUCUCUCCUAGUUCCUCAAGUUGGCGAGGGAAACCGUCUUCACUGAACACCUUCUCACCAAGUAAUUUCUUAUUGUCUUCUUCAUUCAACAAGCUCAGUGUUAUGCCCGUAAGCUGCGGGUGUGUUAUUUGUUGUCUACUUGUAAGCAAGUAUCCAAUCCCUCCACGAAUAUUCCCUUCUUUCAAGCAAUUUAUCAUGCGACGUAUUGCUUGUGUCUCCCAAACAUCAUCCAACACGAUGAGACAUUUCUUACCCUGCAAUUUUUCUUUCAAUAGACCAACUAAUUCCUCACCAUCAUCGUCUCCUUGGGCAAGCAUUCGGUAAGCGUUGGGAUCCACUUGAGCUAGAACGCAGCGUAAUAAUUCAUUGGGUUCGCAUAUUCUACCCACUUUGACCCAUGCUCGAAACUCAAAAUGGCUCCGAAUUGAUGGAUCUUCAAAUAUAUGUUUAGCAAUAGUUGUCUUUCCAAUGCCCGCCAUCCCAAUAAUCGAAUAGUGUUUUUCUUCAAGAAGAUUAUCUCUGGCUCUUUGAAAUACAUAAGAUCUUCCAACCAUCUUUGACUUGAUUCCACCAAAAUCGAUUCUUGAGGAAAUAGGCUCGCCUUCUUCUUCAGCCAUAUUCUCCAUUUCAUUAGUGUACUCCUCCAUCAUCUUCACCAUCUCGACGAAGCAAUCAACAUGGUGUGCAGAUGCAGAUCUACAGAGAAGACAAGUUGCUCUCGCUUUCGAGUUGUGGAAGAAUCUGAGGUAAGAAUGGGAUUCGAGUAAAUCUUCGAAUUCCCAAACUGCCUCUUUUAUGAGUUCAUCCAAAGCAUUCACCUCUGUCCUGAUCUUGCUGCAGCUGGUCUCAUCCAAUUCGAGUAGAACUUUCUGCAAUCGAUCCAUCUGGUCGUAGGCAGGUUGUAAGAUUUGUGGAGAGUGGGAAACGUGAGAAAUGCGAGACGAUUGUAGAAUAUGCUGAAUCGUAUUCUUGAGAGAAGCCGCCGCACCAAAAGCCGCCAUACCCAAAUUAUCAGCUGAGAUACGAUAUAUUGUUGAAAUGAAAUUGCUUAGGUCUGCAAUUUUCCUCCAAAAUGAAGCUUAAACUAAACUGCAAUUAACCCAGAAUAAAAUUCAGUCGCCUAAGAAAGAAACGAAGAAGAAGAAGAAGGAAUUAUAAUAAGCAAACGCAGACGAAACAAAUGAUAGAUCUCAGUUCUCUGCUUACCUCUCGAAGGCGGCGGCAGCUGGUUUUGAUACAAUUUCAGAAACAUUCAAAACCACAUUCAAGAAUUUUAGUAAAUGAUUUGAAAAGAUGUGUAUAAUGUAAUGGUAAAAUCGAUCUAUUGAUGAUUUUGAAUGCAAUUGUGUGGAAGAAUUGUAGCAAGAAACAAAGCAACCGAAGAUUGUAAUUAUUAAGAAUGAGCAAUCAACCACUUGAAAAUUAUGAAAGAAGUGUGAAAACACAUGGCUUCCACUAGUUUUCGUAAAAGAAAACGCACGCCAAUAAAGCUAAUAAUAAAAUAUCCUAUAUAUAAUUAUAUUGGGUCCUAGCCCAAGCUUAUCAAUUCCAUGUGUGUAUGUAUUUAAUUUUAACAAUAAAAUUUUAAUUAAAAUAAAAAAAUUAACCAUAUAUGAAUUAAAAAAAUUACAAUAAUUUAAAUAAAAUAAAAUAAAAUUACAAUAAAAAAUAUCAAUUCCAUCAUUGUCGUUCGUAAUAUUUUUUUUAAUUACAAUAACAUUACUUUUUUUUAAAAUGUUGGAUUGUAAAGAUGAUACUCCCUCCGUCCACAAUUUAAAGCCCUACUUGCUCUUAAAUUUUUGUCCACAAUUUAAAGCCCUAUUAUGACUUUUGUACUUUUUUACUCCUCUUCUUUUCUUAUAUUUAGUACCAUUUGUCACUAAUGGACUCACCUUAAAACACAUUUAUCAUUUUAAUAUUCUAUAUUUACUACACUUUAUCACUAGUGGACCCACUCACAACACCUUUAUCACUUUAGUCAACUACCUUUAUCAUUUUAGUCAAUACCUUAUAUUUCAUCUGCAUCAUCUUUUUCAGUUUUCUUAGUCUCCGUACCCACACCAAAGUGGGGCUUUAAAUUGUGGACAGAGGGAGUAGUACUUUUUUAGAAUUACAAAAGGUAUCUAAUAUAUAAUUAAAUAAGCAAUUCACAAUUCUACAUCAUACAAAGAUGAAAACAAAAGAGAGUGCCUUAUCGACAAUUAACAUUACUUUUUAUUUAAUGACAACCAAUGGAAACAACUUUUGCACGAACUCAUAAAAAAGUCAACGUAUAAAAUUUCUAUAGGAAAAUUUCUUAUGUAAAAUCACAACAAAAAAUUAAUUUUUUACCGAGGGAAUUAUCCCUUGCUAACUUUUACGUCGGGUCAAGUAUCGGCUGAGUAUUAAUUUUACCGAGGGAAAAUCACUCGGUAAUUUUUCUAAAUUCACCGAGGAACAUUUUCCUCGGUAAUUUUCGGACACUUUUUAUUAAAAUAUCGAGGGAGAUUUCCCUCGGUAAUCCCUCGGUAAUUUUUUAUUUUUUAUUAAUAUUUAAUUUUUAUUUUUGACGUACCUAGUGACGACAAUCUUUUUAUCAAUAAAUCCAACCACAAUAACAUCUUUUCAUAAUCUAAACAUAAUUUUAAAUUUUUAAUUUCAUUCAACAUUGUUCAAUGUCCAACAAUAUGUCCAUAUGUAAAUAUUAUAAUAAUGUAUCAAAAGUUACGAAAUAAACUACAUCAAAGCUAAAUAUCAUAAUAAUGUAUCAAAAAGGUACUAAAUAAACUACAUCAAGGCUAAGGAUUGUCUUCUGGUAAGUCUGAACCUCCUGGGCCACUAUUCCUCGACUGCUGCCUGCUGGGACCUCAUGAACUGCUGAAACAUCUCAUUAGUUACUCGAAGUGAUUCCUCCAAUCGGAGUUUAUGUUCACGCUCCUCUUGAAGCUGCUGCUGCUCUUCAAAUCGAGCAUCAACGUGCUGUGAAUGGAUAGUCUGUAAUGUAACGCCCACGAGACUCUGUGCAAAGAUACCAGUGCCGAACAUCCUCCGCCCAAGAAAAUGCCAAAGAAAUUUAUCCGUAGAGUGUGAAACAAUUGACCUCGAUAUCAAUAUCAGUGCAAGUUUGCGCAAAUGUUUUUUUUCUCUCUCCUCAAUUAUUGGACUUUUUUGUGGAACGUGAGUUAUCUUCGUUGCUCAUUCCUACUAUAUUCCCUACUAGAAUAACCUCUCUCACACCCACACACUCUCCCUUUGAAUCGGUUUGAGCAAUUGAAACGGUUUGGUUCGGUUUAAAAAUUUAGGGGCGGUUUGGGUUCAGAUUUUUCCACUACGGUUCGUUUUCAACCCAAACUGCCCGAAUGCUCAGCCCCACAAUAAGGCCAUAGUUUGAACUUUCAACUACAAUAACCACUCUCUCUCUCCUCACACACCACACACUCUCUCUCUCCCUUUGAGAAUUGAGAUGGGGGAGGCUGCAGUGGCAUUCUUGCUGGAGCAAGUGAAGGAGGUGGUGAUAGGUUACGCCGAUCUGAUUUUCGGAGCGGAGAAUGAGUUGGAGCAGCUGAAGAGCGACCUGGCUUUACUCAAAGGUUUCCUCAAGCAGAUGGCGGAGAAGAAGAAGAAGGAAGAUCCGUUGAGGAUACUGGAGAGGCAGACGAGGGAUGCGGUGUACGCGGUCGAGGACACCAUAGACAAAUGCUUCACCAACGCCAUCGCCAAGAAAUCCUUCCACCGCUCUGUGGGUUUGAAAAAUGUGAGCCUCGCCAAGGAGGUGAGAUCUAUUAGAGAAGACAAAGUCAAACCAUUGCUUGACAAGUUUGCUACAUUCGAUUUCAAAUCUGCAGGCGUCCAAGAUUCAUUGACUGUGUCAAAAGGGGUACAUACUCAUUCUCAUCCUAUUUCCAUUUUCUUUUUACUAGCAGAGAUUACGUGCGUUCGCUCGUAAAAAAGAAUUAUUUUAAUGAAUAAAUUUUUAUGAGUGUAAAUUUAUAUUUUAUUUCAUUUUAUAGCAAUAUUUAUCAUUUUGAUGUAUUUUUUGAACCAAUUAUUGAUUAAUAUUUUAAAAGUAUAAUGUUAUUGAACUCAUAAAAUAAAAUUUAUUUAAAUAAACAUCACCUAAUUUUGUCUUCGUAUUUAUUUUAUAGGUUUCAUCUUUACAUCAUUAAUUUUAAUUCCAAAGAUUCUAGCAAAAUUAAAAUUAUAAUUCUUUGUAUUUAUUAAUUCUAAAUUAUUAAAAUUAUAUAAUAAAAAAUACUAGUAACUUAUAUGAUGAAGAGUCCUAAUGGAUGCUACUACUUAAAUAAUUAUUAAAAUAUAAAGGAUAAACCAUAAUAUAUUUAUAGAUAUAUUAUAUGUGUAAUAUAUUAAAUUACACAAUUGACAUUACAUUAAGUAUAUAUAUGAGGGACAUAAUAGACAAAUCAAAUUUUGUAAAAAAAGGCUCUUUUAUAAUAGGUAUAGAUUAUCAUUUUAAUUCUAAAAUUAAUAUGGAGCAACGAUGAGAAGUUGAGAAUGACUCCCUGUGUCCACAAACAAAAUUGACACAUUAUACACUGCAUAAAUUUUAAUAAAAAUGUAAGUAAAGUUUUUUUUAGUGAUGUAAGACUCAUUUUAAAUGUAAAUAAAAUUGAAUGGAUUCUAUUACUCUCUUCAUCUCAACAAAGUUGAGUCGUAUUUCUUUUCGUGUGGUCCCAACACACUUUCUAUUACUACAUCAUUUUUAGUUUGCUGGCUAUAUAGCCUAUAUUUGAUCUUUGUUUUUUGAAAAUAAAUAGGUUGUACAAACUUUGCUUAUGAAAAAUAUUUUCUAUGCAUGCACAAAGUCUUAUGACGGAGGAUUCAACUUGACAUCAUACACCUUAUCCUCCCUUGUUUAAAUUGGUGUUGGCGGCCAUUCUUACUUUCUGUAACAUUCACACAGGAUACACCAAUCAGACAAAACAGAGUAGUAGGAUUUGACAAGGAAGAAGCUACCAUAAGUGCCUAUCUCAAGGAAAAAACAGAUAAGCUCGAUGUUAUCUCGAUCGUGGGCAUACCUGGACAGGGGAAGACAACAUUGGCAUGGAAGAUUUAUCAGAGCGAUGAAAUCGGUUAUCAUUUCCCCAUUCGUAUCUGGGUUAACAUCUCUCAAGUGUUCAACAGCAGGGAUGUGUUCCUCGAAAUCCUGAAAAGAUUCUUCCCCAGCCAAGACACGUCCAGCCUCAACUUCAACGACUUGGCUCAAACAGUUCGCGCGUGUUUGGAGAAAGAGAAAUUCUUGUUAGUCUUAGACGACGUGUGGAGUGUCGUUGCGUGGGACAAGAUCAAGGAGGUGCUUCCAGUAGACAAUGGGGAGGCUAAAGUCCUCAUCACCACCCGAGAAACAGACGUGGGAGAGAAAUCCAGAGUCUACAAAGCUCCCCACAAUCUGAAGUUCCUAGAUAAUGAUGAAAGUUGGGAGCUCCUCCAAUACGAGGUGUUUGGUUUGGAAGACUGCCCGCCAGAACUGAGCACCGUUGGUUACGUUAUAGCCAAGAAGUGUGAUGGAGUGCCACUGACUAUAGUUGUGAUCGGAGGUAUCCUCUUCGACCAACUCACGAAAUCUCGAUCCACGGCUGCGAGUGAAUGGGAGACGGUGUCUACAAGUGUGAGUGGUGCCCUACAAGAUGACAAAACGCAGCGCAUAACAGAAGCUGUAGAGUUGAGCUACCAAAGGUUGCCAGAUGACUUGAGAGAAUGUUUUGUUUUCUUGGGUGUAUUUCCAGAAGAUUAUGAGAUUCCAGCUAAGAUGCUGUGCGGGCUGUGGAUUUCAGAAGGGUAUGUACUUCCGAGAAACGGGAAAAGCUUGGAGGAAAGCGCUGAAGAUAAUAUGAAUGAUCUCAUUUGCAGGAACUUGUUAAAGGUCGAGAAAACUAAUCACAUGGGCAAAGUUAAAACGUGCCAGGUUCAUGAUAUGAUACGUGCGUUCUGCAUAAAGAUAUCCAAGGACGAGAAUUUAUGUCACGAGAUUAAAACAUCCAAGACAGGCGCACUUGAACCUCCAGUUUCUGAGGUAAAAGACUCUCAUCGUCUUUGUUUCCGCUCCAAUCUCUCAAAGUUCCUGCAGGAAAGCCCGUGUGGUCCACACGUUCGUUCAUUUUUGUGUUUCUACGAGCGGCCUGUGGAGUUGGAGCCACAAUACAUAACAGUUAUACCAGAUGGCUUCAGAAAGCUUAGGAUUCUGGAGUCCAGGUGCAUCAUAUUCAACCAAUUUCCAGCAAAGAUUACCAAACUGAUUCAUCUUAGGUACCUCACCCUAUAUAUUGAAUCUCUGAAAAUUCUUCCAGAACCAAUCACCCAGCUAUGGAACCUACAAUCUCUUGUAGUCGAGACCAAGUCUCGUUCCAUUACAAUGAAAGCAAAUAUGUGGAGAAUGGUGCGGUUGAGGUAUCUCAAGACGAGAGCAGCCAUUGUCCUCGACAAUAAAUGGAAAGGUGAUGCAGGGCAGAACCUUCAUACGUUGAAUAGAUUGGCACCCGAAUGUUGCACGGAGGCCGUCUCCAAAAGGGCUAAAAACCUCAAGGCCUUGGGGAUUUCUGGUAAAGUGGCCAUUGUUUUUGAAAAUAAGUUCCUAGAAAACCUGCAUCAUCUGGAAAAGUUGAAGCUGGUGAAUAGUGUAACUUAUGAACAGACAUCCGAAGAUAAGCUGCACAGCCUUCCCCCACAGAAUCGUUUCCCGCCAUCUCUCAAGAGGCUGACAUUAACUAAUACAUUCCUGGGUUGGCAGCACAUGUCCACGUUGGCAACGAUCAGAAGCCUCGAGGCUCUAAAGUUGAAAGACAACGCAUUCGUUGGGCUCCCGUGGAAUCUUGGUCUUGACAGCUUUCCUAAUCUCCAACUCUUGCUGAUUUUAAACACAAAUCUAGUUCUUUGGGAGGCCUCAACUGACUCCUUUCCUAAGCUCAGGAUUCUUGUGGUUAAGAACUGUGAAAACCUCAAAGAAAUUCCAGAGUGUUUGGGAACACAUCUUGAGAAAUUGGAAAUAGAUCGCGUUCGCUUUUCUGCAGUUCAGUCCGCCAAGAAGAUCGAAGAAGCAAAGAAGGGAAAAUCAAAAGGCAAAUUUGAGUACCAUUCAAUCUCAUCGUAGGUCCUGCAUGUGAUACCAAGUGAUCGAGGCAAGUUUUAUUUUUUGGUAUCAGCAAUUUGAUUCAAUGCAUGUGAUGUGUUUCAAUGCGCAAAACAAGAGUUUCAAUAUUGUUCUUCAAUAUGGAUGUAUUGUUGGUCUUGUGGUUUAUUAGAUGAAAAAUGUUUAAGUAUCUGAUGUAUGCGAUUUAGUUGUCUAGAUUUGAAUUGUUUACCGUGAGUUUUAAUUGAUAUUGCCCAAGUUUGUUGGUAUGUUUUGUGCAAGAAUUGCAUGGCUUGCGAGUAAAGAGUUGUGGAUGCGAGAAGCUGACCAAAGACAUGAAUUUUUGUGAAGUUUUAGCUUGGAUGAUCGUACGCAGUUUAAACUAAAUAUAAAUUUGAUUUGAUUAAUUUUAGCAAAAAAAUUAACCAAAGACCACAUACACACCCCUAAUCUUUUUACGAAUCACACACACUUCCCUCAAAAAAAAAAAGUCUUAGGAUGCAUUCUCUUUGAUAGAAAAUGAUGAAAUACAUAAUAUUUUUCCAUUUUUUUUUCACUAUUUCAACUCGUUCUCUUAGUUAGAAAAUUGCACACCAUGUUAAAAUAUCACUUUUCAUAUAAUAUACAUGUCAAGUUGUUAUUUUUAUUUUUUGUUUAAAGAAGAUUAAUAAUAGUUCUCUAUGGUGGAAUAUCUAAAGUGCCAUGGGUUUUGAAUGUCUUCUAAAGAAAUUGAGUAGAAUUUGAUGCCUUUUAAUAGUGAGGCAUAAUUUAAAAGAUAAAUGAUGGAGUUGGGCCUUAACUUUUUGUAUUGGGCCGAAAUUUUGUUUAUUAUAUGAAGAAGCCCAAUUGAUAGGUAAUGCCGUAAUAGGUUAGCUGAUAAAAAUGCUUUAGAAAUUUUAUGAAUGAUAAUUAAUCAAUUCUUUUCUUUUCUUCUUUGACAACGAGAGCUCUUAAUCAGAUUCACUUCAUAGCUAAAUCAACAACAUUUUUAACCUCACAACUCUUGCAGUUCUUUGACAAUUUUUAACCAAAUCGGUGUCGAAAAUUCGAAGUUCAAUAAGUUUCAAAAAACUCCCUGGUGCUAGUCCCACUCUGGGCCUCAAAAAAACUCCAUCCCCAAAUAACUUCCCAACUUUUAUUUUCGGUCCGAGCCCUAAAAGGUGCCCGAUUUCAUGAAGAGCAUCGAGUUCCAAGUCGAAAGCACCCGCAACCGGCUCGAUGGACCGCCGCUCGUCGGCGUCGUAAUGAAACCUUCCAUUUCUUUGAUGUGAUUAAGCAAUCAACCAAUUUGAUCAAAGUCUUUAUGCGCGUUGAAAAUUAUCACAAGCUGCUUCCAAUUCAACUUUGAUUUUAAUAUUUUUCAACUACCAAAUUAAAUGAAACAGUGUUAAAUUAAAUUGAAUUUGAUGCCUUAUAAUAGUGAUCAGGCAUAAUUCAAAAGAUAAAUGAUGGAGAUGGGCCUUAAUUUUAUAUUGGGCCGAAUUUUUUUUAUUAUAUGAAGAAGCCCAAUUGGUCUAUGUUAAUUGAUAGGUAAUAGGUUAUCUGAUAAAAAUGCUUUAGAUUAGAAAUUUUAUGAAUGGUAAUUAAUGAAUUAUUUUCUUCUUUGACAACAAGAGCAGAGCUCUUAAUCAGAUUCACUUCAUAGCUAAAUCAACAUCUUUAAGUUUUCUGUAGUUUUCAUUCAAACUCACACCAAAUCAUGGAUUUUCUGUAGUUUUCAGCAAUCUUCUCAACCAAACAACUUUUAAAUUUCAACAGGGAUCGCAUCUCAACAAAUGUUCAUAUCGAUAAGUUUCUACUGAGGGGUAUCAUAAAUUUGAAAUAUGAAGCCAGAAAUUAGUUAGUAUAUUGCCAGAAUCUGAAAAUUUUAAGCUAUUAAAAACAACACAUAAACUGAUUACACAAAUAUUUAUGUCCAAUAAAAUUAAGGGUUAAUUGCCGGAAAAACCAUAUACUUUNNNNNNNNNNNNNNNNNNNNNNNNNNNNNNNNNNNNNNNNNNNNNNNNNNNNNNNNNNNNNNNNNNNNNNNNNNNNNNNNNNNNNNNNNNNNNNNNNNNNNNNNNNNNNNNNNNNNNNNNNNNNNNNNNNNNNNNNNNNNNNNNNNNNNNNNNNNNNNNNNNNNNNNNNNNNNNNNNNNNNNNNNNNNNNNNNNNNNNNNNNNNNNNNNNNNNNNNAGAAAAUAAAUAAACUGGAAUUAAAUAAAUAAAUAAACUGAAAAUUCGAAAAUAAAUAAAUAAAUUAAUUAAAAUCUGAAAAAAAAAUCAGAAAAUAAAUAAGCUUAAAAGUUCAAAUAUAAAUAAAUAAACUGAAAAAUCGAAAAUAAAUAACUAAAUUAAAAUCUGAAAUAUUAUUAUUUUUAGAAAAUAAAUAAACUGAAAAUUCUGAAAAUAAAUAAAACGGAAAUUAAUAAAUAAACUGAAAAUUCAGAAAAUAAAUAAAAUGGAAUUAAAUAAAUAAAUAAACUGAAAAUUUGAAAAUAAAUAAAUAAACUGAAAAUUCAGAAAAUAAAUAAAUAAACUGAAAAUUCGAAAAUAAAUAAAUUGGAAAUAAAUAAAUAAAUAAACUGAAAAUUUGAAAAUAAAUAAAAAAUAAAUAAACUGGAAUUAAAUAAAUAAAUAAACUGAAAAUUCGAAAAUAAAUAAAUUUAAUUAAAAUCUGAAAAAUUAUUUUUUUUAGAAAAUAAAUAAACUUAAAGUUCGAAAAUAAAUAAAUAAACUGAAAAUUCAGAAAAUAAAUAAAUAAAUAAAUAAAUAAACUGAAAAUUCGAAAAUAAAUAAAUAAAUAAACUGAAAAUUCAAAAAAUAAAUAAAAUGGAAUUAAAUAAAUAAAUAAACUAAAAAUUCGAAAAUAAAUAAACAGGAAAUAAAUAAACUGAAAAUUUGAAAAUAAAUAAACUGGAAAUAAAUAAAUGAAUAAAUAAACUGGAAUUAAAAUUUUCAGAAGAUAAAUAAAUAAAUAAACUGAAAACUGAAAAAUAAAUAAAUAAACUGAAUAUUUUAAAAUAAAUAAACUGAAAAUUCAGAAAAUAAAUAAACUGGAAAUAAAUAAAUGAAUAAAUAAACUGGAAUUAAAAUUUUCAGAAAAUAAAUAAAUAAAUAAACUGAAAAUUCGAAAAUAAAUAAACUGAAAAUUUAGAAAAUAAAUAAACUGAAAUGAAUAAAUAAACUGAAAAUUGAAAAAUAAAUAAACUGGAAUUAAAAUUUUCAGAAAAUAAAUAAAUAAAUCAACUGAAAACUGGAAAAUAAAUUUUUUAGAAAAUAAAUAAACUGAAAAUUCGAAAAUAAAUAAAUAAAUAUACUGAAAAUUACGAAAAUAAAUAAAUUGGAAAUAAAAUUUUCAGGACAUAAAUAAACUGGAAAUUUAAAAUAUCCUACUCCAUUUAAUUAACAUCAAAAUUGGAUUAAGUAGACAAGUAAUGGUAGAGUGUGGUGGGUCCAAUUGGUAAAGUGUAGUAAUUUAAAAAGUAAGGGAGGGUAUAUAAGUCCAAAAAGCAGAGUAGGUAGUUAAUUGGUGGACAAAAUUUUAGAGGCAAAUGGGUAGUUGAUUGGUGGACGGAGGGAGUAAUAAUUUAAACUAAAACAUAGAUAUUUUAAUAAUUCAAACUAAAACAUAUUUACAUCAAAUUAUAAAUAUGAUAAAAGUAUAUUUCUACUUGCAUUAGAAUUCUAUUUAUUAUCUAAUAAAAGCAAUGAAUUACUAGAUUUUCUAAAAUAAUAGAUUAUCAAAUGAAAUAACAUUAAUUACACGUAUAACGUACGUUCUUUCUGCUAGUAUAUCAAAAAUACACAUAAACAGUUUUCAGACAAAUCCAACUUACAACAAUUUUGGUUACAAACACAAUUCAACACUCAGGUUUCACAAUCCAUAAAUUCAUACAACAAUGUGGUAAUACAACAAAUGAAAUUACGGGAUAACACGACGUCUGAUCCCUUUGAUCGGCUCUCUCGUUUGCCUGAAAAUCGGUAGAUGGACAAUCUCAAACACUGUGAUUAUAAUAGGAUCAUUAAGACGUGAUAAUGCAAGGCAGACCUAUGCAAAUCCUUGUGAUAAUCUAAAUAAUUCAAAAUCGAUCAAACUGCUUGAUAAAAAUAAUGCAAACUCUCAACGUUGAGGGAACAGCCUGUGACUUAAAAUAGAACACAUAUAAUACCACUAGUUAAAGAAACAAUAUUUGUUGUCCAAUGAAAUUAACAUCAAAUCUUGAUUUCUACAACUCGAUCUAAAAUCAAGAGCACUUUAUAUGAGUUAGCAACAUCUACAGAAUGGCUUCUGCAGAGUGGAAGAGAGAAACUCAUUUUACGAGCACGAACACGCUAUCGAUUAACAUUAAAUAUGAGUUUGGAAAGGCAAUGUAAUUAAUAAAUAUUUUUAUAGUAUUUUGAUUCGAAAGUUCGAAAGUUAUUAUCCUAAUUUCCAAAUCAACCUAAGUUAUUGUCCUACAAAAACCCUCUAACUCCGACAACAUGAUAAUACAACAAUUGAAAUUAUGGGAUAACACGGCGUCUAAUAGUUUUGUUUUAUAGAUAUAUUCAAAAUUAAGUGAUUGUAAUUAAGUCAUGAUGGCAAGAGCUAAAGCCUAAAUGAGCUGAAACAAUGAAGAAUGUUACAUGUUUCACUUACUGAUGUAAAUUUACUAGCAAUUAAAACACAAUAGCAUUUCACAAACUUAAGAUAUGUAUUUGAUGUGGAAAAUGCACACACUUAUUUUUCUUAAGGGUAAUUUUAUACAUAGCCCCCAUUUUACUCACUAUAGCAAUCUAAUUUAAAAAAUAAUAAUAUUUUUUACUAUUUUGCCCUUUAACUCUUAAAUUAAUUAUCAACUAACUAACUACUUCAAUUUUGGAUUAAUAUUAAUUAACAAAGUAAAUAUCCAAUAUUUCGUAGUCUUUAAUAAUUUUCUACUUUUUUUCUUCUGAGGGAAAUCCUCUUCUACAUUCGAUAACCCUUAAUCCUUAAUCAAACGAAAAAUAAAAUAAAAACAGAAACAAAAACAAAAAUACAUCCAUCACUCCAUAGCCCCCAUUCGUAUUCGAUCUUCUUCUAAUUUCUAUGUUUUCAACUAAUUAGCAAUCGGCAAAUCCCUUUCGUACAUUUCCUUUUUCACUGAUUUAUCACUUGCUAUUCUUGUCAUACACUUUAACUGUGCAGAUAUCUAUAAAUCUCAUCAAAUAAUAACUUAAUCACCAUAACUCCAAAUUUUUGUGAAAAUAAAUACGUUAAAAAAAUAUAGCCCCACCUCCUUCUGACUAUUCUUAUAUUCUCAUGAAACAAAUUCUGAAAUUUAGUUGGAUUGCCAGAAUAAUCAUCUUUGCAGAAUCAAUUAAACAGAACAAUGCAUUGAAAAAUUUGUUCAUACGCUAUGGCUCCCGUCGAAAUCCCUAGGCCUUCUAAACUCAGCGUAAACUCUACAAUUUGGGGGCUAUGUAUAUAAUUUAUUAUUAGGAAUUUAUUUUGAGAGCUAUAAGGGUAGAUAUGUACAUUUAUAAUUAUUUAAAUAAUUUUUUAAAUUAGAGGCUAUAAAGAGUAAAAUNAAAUUACGGGAUAACACGACGUCUGAUCCCUUUGAUCGGCUCUCUCGUUUGCCUGAAAAUCGGUAGAUGGACAAUCUCAAACACUGUGAUUAUAAUAGGAUCAUUAAGACGUGAUAAUGCAAGGCAGACCUAUGCAAAUCCUUGUGAUAAUCUAAAUAAUUCAAAAUCGAUCAAACUAGUUGAUAAAAAUAAUGCAAACUCUCAACGUUGAGGGAACAACCUGUGCCUUAAAAUAGAACACAUAUAAUACCACUAGUUAAAGAAACAAUAUUUGUUGUCCAAUGAAAUUAACAUCAAAUCUUGAUUUCUACAACUCGAUCUAAAAAUCAAGAGCACUUGAUAUGAGUUAGCAACAUCUACAUGUACAAUGGCUUCUGCAGAGUGGAAGAGAGGAACCUCAUUUUUACGAGCACGAACACGCUAUUGAUUAACAUUAAAUAUGAGUUUGGAAAGGCAAUGUAAUUAAUAAAUAUUUUUUAUAGUAUUUUGAUUCGAAAGUUCGAAAGUUAUUAUCCUAAUUUCCAAAUCAACCUAAGUUAUUGUCCUAAAAAACCCUCUAACUCCGACAACAUGAUAAUACAACAAUUGAAAUUAUGGGAUAACACGGCGUCUAAUAGUUUUGUUUUAUAGAUAUAUUCAAAAUUAAGUGAUUGUAAUUAAGUCAUGAUGGCAAGAGCUAAAGCCUAAAUGAGCUGAAACAAUGAAGAAUGUUACAUGUUUCACUUACUGAUGUAAAUUUACUAGCAAUUAAAACACAAUAGCAUUUCACAAACUUAAGAUAUGUAUUUGAUGUGGAAAAUGCACACACUUAUUUUUCUUAAGGGUAAUUUUAUACAUAGCCCCCAUUUUACUCACUAUAGCAAUCUAAUUUAAAAAAUAAUAAUAUUUUUUACUAUUUUGCCCUUUAACUCUUAAAUUAAUUAUCAACUAACUAACUACUUCAAUUUUGGAGUAAUAUUAAUUAACAAAGUAAAUAUCCAAUAUUUUUCGUAGUCUUUAAUAAUUUUCUACUUUUUUUCUUCUGAGGGAAAUCCUCUUCUACAUUCGAUAACCCUUAAUCCUUAAUCAAACGAAAAACAAAAUAAAAACAGAAACAAAAACAAAAAUACAUCCAUCACUCCAUAGCCCCCAUUCGUAUUCGAUCUUCUUCUAAUUUCUAUGUUUGCAACUAAUUAGCAAUCGGCAAAUCCCUUUCGUACAUUUCCUUUUUCACUGAUUUAUCACUUGCUAUUCUUGUCAUACACUUUAAUUGUGCAGAUAUCUAUAAAUCUCAUCAAAUAAUAACUUAAUCACCGUAACUCCAAAUUUUUGUGAAAAUAAAUACGUUAAAAAAAUAUAGCCCCACCUCCUUCUGACUAUUCUUAUGCUAUUUGGUCACCGCCGUUGUAAGUUAUCUCAAUUUUGCCGGCAUCAAAGUGUGUGCUCGAUCCAAUUGGAUUGUAUUCAUAUAUUCUAAUGAAACAAAUUCUGAAAUUUAGUUGAUUGCCAGAAUAAUCAUCUUUGCAGAAUCAAUUAAUCAGAACAAUGCAUUGCAAAAUUUGUUCAUACGCUAUGGUUCCCGUCGAAAUCCCUAGGCCUUCUAAACUCAGCGUAAACUCUACAAUUUGGGGGCUAUGUAUAUAAUUUAUUAUUAGGAAUUUAUUUUGAGAGCUAUAAGGGUAGAUAUGUACAUUUAUAAUUAUUUUAAAUAAUUUUUUAAAUUAGAGGCUAUAAAGAGUAAAAUGGGGGCUGUGUUUAAAAUUACCCUUUUCUUAAUUGCCUCAGCAUCACAUAUAACAUUUUCUGUUAGUUUUACUCCUAUUACGUACAUAUUUUAUUUUAAGGUUUUUUUUUGUGUAUUAUAUACAUAUUGGGCCCAAGUCGGAAUAGAAGAAAAUUAUGUCAUGGGGAAUUCAGCCCAACUCAAAAUCUGGUUUUUGAUGUUGAAUUGUUGAGCUUAAUUUGAGUAAAUUGCAGUGUUUUAAUUGCUUCUUUGUUAUCAAUUCAAGGAAUAAAAAUGGAUUAUAUAUAGUUAGGCAAAUUUAAAAGAUAAAUGAUGGAGCUGGGCUUAUAUUUUGUAUUGGGCCGAAAAUUUAUUUUUAUAUAGAGAAGCCCAAUUAGUGUAUGUUAAUUCAUAGGUAAUAGGUUAGUUGAUAAAUGCCUUAGAUAUUUUAUUACUGCUUAAGGAAAGGUUUGUUGAUCUAUGUGCGCGGCCUUUAAAUUUCUUUAUUUAUGUGUAAUUUAUCCAAAAAAAAAAAUUUACUUCAUAGCUAAACCAACAACUCCUACGGUUACUAAUAAAAUUAACAUCAAAUCUUGAUUAAUUACUAUAACUACGAUCUAAAUACAAGAGCACUUGAUAUGAGUUAGCAACAUCUACACAAUGGCUUCGGCAGAGUGGAAGAGAGGAACCUCAUCUUACGUACGAGCACGAACACGCUAUCGAACCUCAGUUGGCUAGAAUCCGUUACUCCAACGAGUCUUAUCUGCGUCUGCUUCUAGUCUGAGAUGACGGUGAGCUUGAGGAAUCUACUCGACUUGACUCAGCUCGAUUCGUUUGCUUCUUUCUGCGUCUCCACGCGAGUUGGAUCCGUCUAGCUGCAAUUCCUCGCCAAUAAGGCGAUUCAUACCUACAAUGCAAAGAAGGCAACGAGUGCAAUAUAUGAUGCUCACAAUGCUAUGCACGAACGUGUUUGCAAGCUAACGAGCCCAAUACUUUCAAGUUAAUCGAUUCAUUUAUAGGUUAUGCAUUAUAAAGAAGUUACCUUAUGGCGCCUUGAACAAGUGAACUCCUUAAGAAUCUUGCGAAGAGAUCUUCAAAAACAGCAGCUCGUAAUACAAAGGCCUCGACGUUUGUUAAACAAGUUACUAGUAAUCUACAUACAGCAGAAACUCACCUGCGGCAGGGGAAGCAACUCUCGAUCGUCUCUUUCAUUUGCCUGAAAAUCGAUAGAUGGACAAUCUCAAACACUGUGACUAUAACAGAAACAUUAAGACGUAAUAUUGCAAAGUAGUAAGACUAACCUGUUAGGCAAGUUGCAGACUCACUUGACCUCAAAAAGAAGAUUCGACGAAAAGGUCAAAGGAAAACUUGUCUUUUAAUUCAUUGGCACAAGCGACAACUAAAGGAUUGCACUCGCGUAAAUGAAUGAUCUCUAUCGAAGAGUGGUCAUACGGCCAAUCGAGCUGUUGUAAUUUGUAGCAAUGUUGCAUGCUUAGUCUACGAAGCUCCGGGAAGCUUCCACGUUGAGGUCUCCAUCGCACCAUAUCGGUGUCUUCAAUUUGAAGUUCAAUAAGUUUCAAAAAACUCCCCGGUGUUAUGUCCCACUCUGGGCCUCGAAAUGCAUAUUGGUAUAACAUGAGAAUCUCGAGAUUUGGCAGCAGCGAACCAAUAUCAUUCAUAUAAUUCCAAGGAUACCCCCUAACCCAGACAACAAUAACACUGUGAGACUUGAUGGAAACAUUGAAAGAGGAAUCGUAUUACACUCAUACUUUAUCUCGGGAUUAUUAACCCAAUAUGAGAGUUUCUCUAGAUUCUGGAGUUGGGAGAUAUAACCCAAGCAGCUCAAUGGGUUUCUUUCAUCAUCAUCAUCAUCACAAGGCUUCAACUCCACUUCAAUCAUUAAUCUCUUUAAAUUAGGAAUUCUUUUGAGAACUUCCCUUGUAAAACUGUUUGCACUCACACAAUUAAGUGUCAUGAGUUUGUUCAAGGCAGCAUCAUCCGUAUUAGGGGUUGGUAUUCCCUUCCCCAAAUCUAAAGAUGUUCUAGUUCUUGCAUGUCCCAAAUUUGCACAGGCAUAUAAGGCUGAACUCCACGCUUUUUAAUGUAUAUAUAUGGAUUGAUAAUCAAGAAUUGAAGGUGAAAAAGGUUGGAUAUGGAAGGAGGGAGUUCCCCGUUGCAUUUUAGGGAAAUGUAACGCAGACAAACAAGUUUCAAAAUUUCAAUUGGGAUAUCAUAAAAUCGAACUCCAAAAGCAGCUAGCACCCUGAGCAACUUAAAACCCAUGGCAUGUAUUGGGAUUGGAUAAGGGUGAUCGGGACCAUGACAAAGGAGAGAACGGGCAGUGGAUGCACAAUCACUUUUUAUUAAAUCACACACUUGUUUGAAGCAGAAUAAGUUGUUGUAAUGGGCACACAUGCGACGCUGGUCUUUAAUAACAUCAUCACAACCUCGUAAGACAUGUAGAAACUUGAUCCUACUAGCUUCUACCUUACAUAAGUGCUGCCAACAAGAAUGCACGCGAUACUUUCUCUCUGAAAACCACGAAAUUUUUGUGUCGAGAAGAAGAUGAUACGACUCAGAAAGCUUUUCCCAGAAACCUUCAAAACUUUUUUCAAAAUUCAGUUCAAGAAAGCCCUCAGCACUCAACAGAUGAAUGAUAUCGAAUGGUCUUUGAUCAGCAUAAGGAGGGAAAGCUCCCAUAUAGAGAAAAGGCAUUUUAAAAUGUUGGGGUAAGUAGUCAUAGCUUGGGAAAAGUACCUCUGAUAUUUGAUUAUAUGCUUCCACAAAGAGUGAACUAUGUUGUUUGAGUACCUCAGUCCAAUAUUCUGGGGUCUUGUCGGCUUUUGAUAGGAGCUCUGCAACCUUGACUAUCAUAAGAGGAAGACCUUCACAUUUCUUGGCAAUCUUCUCUCCCAGUUCCUCAAGUUGGAGAGGGAAACCUUCUUCACUAAACACCUUCUCACCAAACACCUUCUCACCAAGUAAUUUCUUACUAUCUUCUUCAUUCAACAAGCUCAUUCUUAUGCCCCUAUGCUGCGUGAAUUUUAUAGCUUGUCUACUUGUAAGUAUUAUCCAAUCCCUCCAACUAUAUUAUUUUCUUUCAAGCAAUUUAUCACGUGUCUUAUUGCUUGUACCUCCCAAACAUCAUCCAACAACGAUGAGACAUUUCUUAUCCUGCAAUAAUUUUUCUUUCAAUAGUCCAACUAAUUCCUCCUCCUCACCAUCAUCUCCUUGGGCAAGCAUUCGGUAAAGCGUUGGGAUCCACUUGAGCUAGAACGCAGCGUAAUAGUUCAUUGGGCUCGCAUUUUCUGCCCACUUUGACCCAUGCUCGAAACUCAAAAUGGCUCCGAAUUGAUGGAUCUUCAAAAAAUGUUUAGCAAGAUUGUCUUUCCAACGCCGCCAUCCCAAAAUCGAAUAGUGUUUAUCUUCAAGAAGAUUAUCUCUGGCGUCUUGAAAUGCAUAAGAUUUUCCAACCAUCUUUGAGUUGAUUCCACCAAAAUCGAUUCUUGAGGAAAUAGGCUCGCCUUCUUCUUCAGCCAUAUUCUCCAUUUCAUUAGUGUACUCUUCCUCCAUCAUCUUCACCAUCUCGACGAAGCAAUCAACAUGGUGUUGAAGACUCUGCAGAUCUACAGAGAAUGACAAGUUGUGUCUCUCGCUUUGGAGUUGUGGAAGAAUCUGAGGUAAGAUAUGGGAUUCGAGUAAAUCUUCGAAUUCCCAAACUGCCUCUUUUAUGAGUUCAUCCAAAGCAUUCACCUCUGUCCUGAUCUUGCUGCAGCUGGUCUCGUCCAAUUUGAGCAGAACUUUCUGCAAGCGAUCCAUCUGGUCGUGGAGAGUGGGAAACGAGAGAAAUGCGAGACGAUUGUAGAAUACGCAGAAUCGUAUUCUUGAGAGAAGCCGCCGCACCAAAAGCCGCCAUACCCAAAUUAUCAGCUGAGAUACGAUAUAUUGUUGAAAUGAAAUUGCUUAGCUCUGCAAUUUUCCUCCAAAAUGAAGCUUAAACUAAACUGCAAUUAGCCCAGAA
This 18578-nucleotide long non-coding RNA is filed under the name Salvia miltiorrhiza (redroot sage). RNAcentral's name for it is "long non-coding RNA (SMIL_LNC006720)". Lineage: Eukaryota; Viridiplantae; Streptophyta; Magnoliopsida; Lamiales; Lamiaceae. The record is from RNAcentral.